RNAcentral lists this ribosomal RNA (429 nucleotides) under Pseudomonadota bacterium. RNAcentral describes it as "Proteobacteria bacterium partial 16S ribosomal RNA". It matches the Rfam family "Bacterial small subunit ribosomal RNA", at positions 355 to 776 of the family's 1533-position model. Lineage: Bacteria; Pseudomonadati; Pseudomonadota. The record is from RNAcentral.
UGGGGAAUAUUGGACAAUGGGCGAAAGCCUGAUCCAGCCAUGCCGCGUGUGUGAAGAAGGUCUUCGGAUUGUAAAGCACUUUAAGUUGGGAGGAAGGGCAGUAAGCGAAUACCUUGCUGUUUUGACGUUACCGACAGAAUAAGCACCGGCUAACUCUGUGCCAGCAGCCGCGGUAAUACAGAGGGUGCAAGCGUUAAUCGGAAUUACUGGGCGUAAAGCGCGCGUAGGUGGUUCGUUAAGUUGAAUGUGAAAGCCCCGGGCUCAACCUGGGAACUGCAUCCAAAACUGGCGAGCUAGAGUAGGGCAGAGGGUGGUGGAAUUUCCUGUGUAGCGGUGAAAUGCGUAGAUAUAGGAAGGAACACCAGUGGCGAAGGAGACCACCUGGGCUCAUACUGACACUGAGGUGCGAAAGCGUGGGGAGCAAACAGG